ACAUAAGUAUGUAAAUAGAUAAUUAUCUCAGAAUAAAGAAAAUAACAAUAAUAGCAAAUAAUGAACACUGCAAAGUUUCUAAAACCACUGCGCGAAAGGUCUCCAUGGAGUUGCUGAAAAUGUCCACCGAGUCAUUUUUCAUCACAGUUAUUUUACAUUCGUCAGAUUUGUAAUUUUUAUUGUUAAAAAAAAACGCCUUUUACUAUUCAUAAAUUGAACAUAUGCCUAGAAAUUAAUUCAGACUAUUUAAUUAUACACUUAAUUUCACACUAAAGCAGUUUCUCGAGCUUUAAAUUGGCCAAUUUAUCGCAUUUGAUAUUUGGAAUGGGUCGUUUCAUUUGUCUAAUCGUAUUAAUAAUAGCAGAAAGCCACCAAACAGAAUACAUUACUUUAGACGUGGAAGACCCCUUUCACUUUGAACCAGAAGUUAAGGAUAGUCAAGAUAUGCUUGCUAUAGACAAGUACAAAGCUAAUGAAUUAAAGCAAAUUGGUAGCGAUUCAAAUGAGCACGAGCCGCAAGACAAAACAUUUCGUAGAAUCGAAUUAGCCGUGGCAAACUACAUAUGUCGCCAACAACGCGAAAGUCGUAACAAAAUGGUUGAAAGAACAAAAGGUAACAUAAAGAACAAAAAACUAAAGAAGUUCUUUCCCGUUAAAAAAUUGAACCAUAACAAAAAUGUAGUAGAAGAUGAAUUUAUGGAACUGAACGAAUUAUUACAAUACACCCAGCGUUUCAUCUUUUAAAUCAACUAGAAUUAAACUUCAUCUAAAGGC
Molecule: long non-coding RNA, 774 nt
Organism: Pieris brassicae (large cabbage white)
Lineage: Eukaryota; Metazoa; Arthropoda; Insecta; Lepidoptera; Pieridae
Exons: 2
Source: RefSeq, a predicted model, not a curated record